AGAGAGAGAGAGAGAAAGAGAAGGGGUUGGAGAGAGAAAGCACAGGCUCUCCAUUACUGUUUGAAACAUCUACAAAAUCAAAUCGCUUCAUCGCUUAGACUAGUGUAUUGUCUUCACUCGAUCCAGCUCUUCUGAUCCUUCUAGAACAUUCUGUAACAGUUUCCGUAGAAACGUUUCCUUCUUUGUUUCCUGUAAAGUGUACAGAAUCCUCUCCCUCAAAAGAAACCCCGUUUCGAUGGAGCUCUACGGCCGGAACCACGCAAGGAAUGGGUCGCAAUCGGGUCAACAACCCGAAUGGAGCCCCGUGAGAGGCGAAACCGGGUUAGAAGAAUCGAUGUGGCGAUUGGGGCUAGCCAGCAGUGAAUUAUAUCCGGAGCGGCCCGGCGUGCCCGACUGUGUGUAUUAUAUGCGAACAGGGUUUUGUGGAUAUGGUGGUAGGUGCCGCUAUAAUCACCCUCGCAAUCGCGCUGCGGUUGAGGCAGCUGUAAGAGCUACCGGGGAGUACCCAGAACGUGUAGGGGAACCCCCUUGUCAGUUUUAUUUGAAGACUGGAACCUGUAAAUUUGGAGCAUCUUGCAAGUUCCAUCAUCCGAAGCAUGGAGGUGGAUCCUUGAGCCAUUUUCCACUAAAUACACAUGGAUACCCAUUACGACUGGUUUGAAUCAUCUUCUUUGUUUUCCUUCCUCAACACUCACACACAAUAGAUAUUAAUAUUUAUAUUUCAUAAACUGUCAAGGCAAUCAUAAGACUUUUUUCCCCCUCUCUCUCUCUCUAAAGGGUGAAAAAGAAUGCUCCUACUAUUUGAAAACGGGGCAGUGCAAAUUUGGUAUAACUUGUAAAUUCCAUCAUCCUCAACCAGCUGGCACAUCACUGCCAGAAUCUGCACCCCAUUUUUAUCAGCCGGUGCAGUCACCUUCAAUUACUAUACCUGACCAAUAUGGAGGGGGAUCCACCAGCUUGAGGGUGAGGCCUCCAGUGUUACCUGGUUCAUAUGUGCAAGGGGCUUAUGGUCCUGUGUUGUUUUCCCCUGGAGUGGUUCCUAUUCCGGGUUGGAGUCCUUAUUCGGUAAUUUUAUGGCCUUAUUUGCUUGAGUUGUUGAAAACUUACAUUCAUUUCUUAUACUUCCCUUGGGUUUUGUGGCUUAGGCACCUGUAAGUCCUGUUCUGUCUCCUGGUGCACAGCCUGCAGUUGGGGCAACUUCUCUGUAUGGUGUAACACAAUUAUCUUCUUCAGCACCUGCACUUGCCGGACCUUACGCAUCGCCCUCUUCUGUUGCUGGCCUUUCAAGUGGUACUAAGGAACAAGCUUUUCCAGAGAGACCUGGCGAACCUGAGUGCCAGUACUAUUUGAGGACUGGAGACUGUAAAUUUGGAUCAUCUUGUAGAUAUCAUCAUCCUCGGGAUCGGGUUGUGCCAAGAACAAAUUGUGUCCUAAGCCCACUUGGCCUUCCUUUACGUCCAGUAAGUGAAUUUAUUCAUUUUCUUUAUUCAUAUAGCUUAUAUCUCAAAUUACCAGCCCAAAGAGGACCCCAAUGCAAAAGAAGUCAAAAUAACAUGGUUCAAUCCAAACAAAACCUCAAACUCUCAUCCCUAUCGGGAGGCAGUGGGACGCUCUUCCUUGCAUUAUGAAAGGCACUCUGCAAUAUUUACUUUCUCCUCUUGUGCCUGGUAGGGGAUAAUGGUUUUCUAAUGAUGCCUGUAAGACGUGAUAUCUGAAAUAAUGCUCAGAGCACUUCCCUUUGCUGCUUUUUAGUUCCCUGUUUAUAUAGUCUUGUAGUUUUAUUUAUAAACUGCAUCUACAUCAAGAGUUUUAAAUUUGUUUGAAUUUUGAUUCGUUUAAUCUAUACUGAAAUUAAUGAUUCAACAACAAAAAAAAAAAAAUCAAAGGAGCACAAAUAUGUAACACUUGUUUUCAAAAUUUUUCAUAAUGAAGGAAAACUUAUAAGUUAUUGUCAUUACAGUUUGCAAGUUAUUUUAUCAUGCAAUUCAGUACUAGGAAAUUUAAGAUAAUAUAUGUAUGGAACUUUGGAAAACUGAUUUUGCUGUGGAUGUGGAAGUUACUGUGUGAAUUGAGGAGGGGUGGCAGCAGUAGACUGUUUUCUUGUUUCCAGGUUACCAUAUCUGUGCUUGCCACUGCCAGUGUAUCUUAUGACUCCCAUCUUGUCAAGCUUUUUUCUGUUCAAGUAACUUAUGCAUUGCCCUUUAAGUUUCCUAAAUGAUUAGUGAUUUUUAUAUGCUGUGUUAAUGCAUGUUACUAUGAUUCCUUUUAAACUAUUAUUAAAUAUGAUGCUCGCCAUUGUAAACAGGGAGUGCAACCUUGUGCCUUCUACUUGCAAAAUGGGAACUGCAAAUUUGGGGCCACGUGCAAAUUUGAUCACCCAAUGGCAACAGUGAGAUAUAGUCCAUCAACAUCAUCUCUUAUUGAUAUGCCAGUUUCUCCGUAUCCAGUUGGGUCUUUGCUUGCUACUUUGGUCCCUUCAUCGUCUUCUGCUGAAUUGCGACCUGAACUUAUUGGAGUGACCAAAAAGGAUCCUUAUUUGAGCAGAAUUCCUUCUUCUGGAAAUACAUCAAGCAAUUCAGUUGGGUUGAUUUUUUCCCAGACUGGGUCUUUACCACUUCCUGAGUUGCAACAUUCAAUUCAGAGUUCCGUUCCUUUAGCCGGUGGCAGAAGUACAAGACAAGGUGGCGAGGUUCGUCAUUCAAGUUGAUGUAAAACCCUAAAGUCAUCGUUCACUAUCUAGCGCAUGCGAUUCAUUGGUCUUCAUAUGAUUUUCUGUUUACAGAGCUCCGUAAGUUGUAACUUGUCCGGAAGUUUCAUUGCUCCAUGUAAAGGUCUACCAUCCAAUCUGGUUUAAGCUCAUACUAGGACUGAUAGUCUUUAUGCUCAUAUCAUCUAUCUAAAGCCAUUGAUAUUAUCUGAAAUAAGCUUCAGUAGCAAUCACUGUAUGAACUUCUUCGCAAAGCAUCAAAAUAAUUUCAGUUUACGAGGCCAGCCUACACCUUCUCUUGUACUGGGCCUUCUGUAUACUUGAUUCUGAUCAUUUUUGUGAUGGAAAGAAUUAGUCAACCCCCUCACUUAUUAGUCAGCCCCGUCUCUGUCCCUCUCUCUCGCACUCUCUCCCCUGAAAAUUUGGGACAAACUUCCAGUUUUGUAAUUUCUGAGCUUACUAUCUGAUUUCACAAGUGUCAGAAGGUGUUUAUUUUGCCCCCUUUUCGAGGGCAUUUAUGGAGAACGUUUUGAAGACUACAAGUAUGCAUGUGAUUGAAGCAAUACUUUGACACCGAGUUGUCAUCCACUGUGAAGCUCUUCAUGUUUAGUGUAAGGUUGGAGAUGUCUUUUGAAUGUAAAAUACCUUUAUUUGUCUGCAUUAUUUUGAAUUAUUAUAUGAGAUGUUGUCGAAACUUUUGAAUUGCCUUCUUUAUAAAUAUGUCCAAGAUUGCUUUGGGGUUUCGGGUUGUUUACUCUGUAUUCAGCUGACUUGACUAGUUGUUCCUUUAACAGUGAUAUAUUACUUGGUCUUGGAUUACGUUUUCUG
This 3535-nucleotide unclassified non-coding RNA is filed under the name Hevea brasiliensis (rubber tree). Lineage: Eukaryota; Viridiplantae; Streptophyta; Magnoliopsida; Malpighiales; Euphorbiaceae. The record is from RNAcentral.